This 411-nucleotide long non-coding RNA is filed under the name Homo sapiens (human). RNAcentral's name for it is "HSALNT0188413". Lineage: Eukaryota; Metazoa; Chordata; Mammalia; Primates; Hominidae. The record is from RNAcentral.
UCUUUCUACUAUUUUUUGACUUAAAGAUUGUUUUAGGAAACAGCUGGAGAUGAAGCAUGGCUGUCAUUGCAUUUCUCUUACUGUGAUUGUUCAGAAUGCUCCGACAGAGCUACCAAGGAGGAGGAAUGGCACAACAUGAUGACAAGAUUAAUUAGCAUCUGCAAGACUGGACAUGGCUCCCCAAGGGAUUCUUCCCAUGCUCUGCCAUGGCUGCCUCUGGUACCCUCCCCCUGCCUUGAGAUGUCACCUCUGAUGUGUCUGGGUCCCCAGCUGGCUUACAAGCUCUUGUGACAUCAGUGGCACAUUUUGUGGCACUGCAUUUAGAAAACUGUAAAGCUGGUAUAUGCACUAGAGAUCUGUCCUUCAUUUUCUUCAUUUUGUAUUUAAUGCUGUCCUAACUCCACAAAAUAG